ACAAUAAUGAUGAAGAAUUUUUCGAACAGGAUGGAAAAAAGAUAAUCCAAAAUUGUUGGCCAACAUAGACAACGUGUCGCUGAUGUUACCGGAUUUUUGUCACAUGGUUGAAUCGAAUUUCAUUGAACGGCCAACUAACAAUGGCUUCGGCGCAGAGUUAACAUAUCUGUGGGAAACGAAUCUGACUACCCAUUGCGAAAGCCGAUCAAAGAAUUUUUUUGAAAAGCGCGUGUUUGAAUUGAACGAUUUCGCAACGCAGUACAAUUAUUUCAACGAUCGGUUUGGUCACGGUGACGCAUUGCCAUAUUACGACAAUGUUGACAUAACAAAUGCCGUCAACUACACAUAUCAUCGCAGAAAUACCACCAAUGGUGAUGAACAGCGUGAAUUGCAACUGGGCGACUUGUUAGAUGAGCUACGUUUUGUUGGUGCACCAGACAAUUGCAACAUCAAGGAGUUCGUUAAGAAUGACUGUUUCAAAUCCAUUCGCAUGUGGACAUUCAUUCAGCGCUCUAUCCGGAUGUUUCAUAUCACAUACAAAGAUCGCCGUGAUAAACCACGAUUCCGGAAUUUCGUUGUUGUAGCGAUGUGUGAUUUCCAACGGCGACACAUUCGCGUCGAUACAGAUGCAUUGUAAAACAUCGGAAAAAAGGAACGUCAAAUUGGAGAAACAUUGAGAAGAAAGAAUUCAGUGCAAACAAACAUGGGAGUUGGAAUCUGUUUUUCAGAUAGAGGAGAAUAUUUUCAAAUUGGUGAAUUUGUGUAUAUCCAGCAAACGAUAUCAUUGGGAUGCAAAACAAAAUCGUCGUGAUGCGAAAGCCGAAAGAAUCACACGAAGAGCAAGCUGAUCGUAAUCGAAUUGCAGCUAUGAUUGGUAAAAUGCCAUCGCCCAAAGGAUCAUCAUGGUGUUCGUACAUUGAACAUCGAUUACGUGUAAUGAAUGAUGGCAUUGAAACGUAUUUGGCCAAACAGUAUGCACGAUUGGGACUCGACAAACACAUUGAAUCGGUACGUGCGAUGGACAAAACGACAUGCAAAAUGGUACGAAAUGAACCAUCAAUUUUCUACAUUGGAGCCGGCGGAUCAACAUGGCUACCAAAUGUUGCAAACGAUGAAAUCGAGGGAGCUGCUGGAGCACAACCAUCGCACACAAUAGUAUGACAUCGUGAUAUCGCAGCAGUGAAGCUGAUCCUGUACAAAGGUGAAUGCGUGGUGUUCAAGCGAAGAAUUCAUCAGGAUAUCAAGUCAAUUUUUGUAUCAUAUACUAAUUGAAUUUUUUCUGUUUUUUCAUGCCAUUGAUGAACGUUGAAUUUGACAGAAACUACAUACGUCAACAUAUGCCCGAUAAUGGAUGAAUUUGCCACAACAAUUUUUUAUUGGGAAGCUACACAAUUAUUUAUUAAUUUAUCUUAUUAAAAUGUCUAAAUGAUAUAUAAUAUUUGGAUGAUAUCGUUAUC
Molecule: long non-coding RNA, 1457 nt
Organism: Contarinia nasturtii (swede midge)
Lineage: Eukaryota; Metazoa; Arthropoda; Insecta; Diptera; Cecidomyiidae
Exons: 3
Source: RefSeq, a predicted model, not a curated record